AGACAGUUAGCUCAGUUGAGUGUAGCGCUAACAACGCUAAGGUCGCAGGUUCGAUUCCCGUUCGGUCCU
RNAcentral lists this transfer RNA (69 nucleotides) under Apaloderma vittatum (bar-tailed trogon). It matches the Rfam family "tRNA". Rfam says of the family: Transfer RNA (tRNA) molecules are approximately 80 nucleotides in length. Lineage: Eukaryota; Metazoa; Chordata; Aves; Trogoniformes; Trogonidae. The record is from Rfam by way of RNAcentral.